This 796-nucleotide ribosomal RNA is filed under the name uncultured bacterium. RNAcentral's name for it is "bacterial SSU rRNA". It matches the Rfam family "Bacterial small subunit ribosomal RNA", at positions 71 to 865 of the family's 1533-position model. The record is from RNAcentral.
AGCGCGGGGCAACCUGGCGGCGAGUGGCGAACGGGUGAGUAAUAUAUCGGAACGUACCCUGGAGUGGGGGAUAACGUAGCGAAAGUUACGCUAAUACCGCAUACGAUCUAAGGAUGAAAGUGGGGGAUCGCAAGACCUCAUGCUCCUGGAGCGGCCGAUAUCUGAUUAGCUAGUUGGCGGGGUAAAAGCCCACCAAGGCAACGAUCAGUAGCUGGUCUGAGAGGACGACCAGCCACACUGGAACUGAGACACGGUCCAGACUCCUACGGGAGGCAGCAGUGGGGAAUUUUGGACAAUGGGCGCAAGCCUGAUCCAGCAAUGCCGCGUGAGUGAAGAAGGCCUUCGGGUUGUAAAGCUCUUUUGUCAGGGAAGAAACGGUGGGGGCUAAUAUCCUCCGCUAAUGACGGUACCUGAAGAAUAAGCACCGGCUAACUACGUGCCAGCAGCCGCGGUAAUACGUAGGGUGCAAGCGUUAAUCGGAAUUACUGGGCGUAAAGCGUGCGCAGGCGGUUUUGUAAGUCUGUCGUGAAAUCCCCGGGCUCAACCUGGGAAUUGCGAUGGAGACUGCAAGGCUAGAAUCUGGCAGAGGGGGGUAGAAUUCCACGUGUAGCAGUGAAAUGCGUAGAUAUGUGGAGGAACACCGAUGGCGAAGGCAGCCCCCUGGGUCAAGAUUGACGCUCAUGCACGAAAGCGUGGGGAGCAAACAGGAUUAGAUACCCUGGUAGUCCACGCCCUAAACGAUGUCUACUAGUUGUCGGGUCUUAAUUGACUUGGUAACGCAGCUAACGCGUGAAGU